UUUUUAGACCUUCCUGGAGGAGUUUGCCCCCUAACCGAUAACCCACGAAAUACCUUUCCAGCUUUUGAAAAAUCAGCAUGUAUACCAUCGUCGUCAGUCUACCUCUUAAGAGAAGUAUACUUAAAGAGCCCAACUCACUACGUCAGAUCGAGGUGCAGCUAAUAAGCUGGGGUUGGUGAACUACAAUAUUCCCACCAAACCACAAUAAAACCAAUUAUGAACAGUACUAUGAAACUAAUACUCAAAACAGGAUUCAGUAGUAAUAUCCAAAAGAAAAUGGAUAUGAACCAACAGCUCUAAAAUGCGC
Molecule: ribosomal RNA, 307 nt
Filed under: Pergamaster incertus
Lineage: Eukaryota; Metazoa; Echinodermata; Asteroidea; Valvatida; Goniasteridae
Description: partial 12S ribosomal RNA
Source: RNAcentral